Molecule: ribosomal RNA, 736 nt
Filed under: uncultured bacterium
Lineage: Bacteria
Description: bacterial SSU rRNA
Rfam family: Bacterial small subunit ribosomal RNA
Source: RNAcentral
AGUGGCGGACGGGUGAGUAAUGCUUGGGAACUUGCCUUUGCGAGGGGGAUAACAGUUGGAAACGACUGCUAAUACCGCAUAAUGUCUUCGGACCAAACGGGGCUUCGGCUCCGGCGCAAAGAGAGGCCCAAGUGAGAUUAGCUAGUUGGUAAGGUAACGGCUUACCAAGGCGACGAUCUCUAGCUGUUCUGAGAGGAAGAUCAGCCACACUGGGACUGAGACACGGCCCAGACUCCUACGGGAGGCAGCAGUGGGGAAUAUUGCACAAUGGGGGAAACCCUGAUGCAGCCAUGCCGCGUGUGUGAAGAAGGCCUUCGGGUUGUAAAGCACUUUCAGUUGUGAGGAAAAGUUAGUAGUUAAUACCUGCUAGCCGUGACGUUAACAACAGAAGAAGCACCGGCUAACUCCGUGCCAGCAGCCGCGGUAAUACGGAGGGUGCGAGCGUUAAUCGGAAUUACUGGGCGUAAAGCGCACGCAGGCGGUUUGUUAAGCUAGAUGUGAAAGCCCCGGGCUCAACCUGGGAUGGUCAUUUAGAACUGGCAGACUAGAGUCUUGGAGAGGGGAGUGGAAUUCCAGGUGUAGCGGUGAAAUGCGUAGAUAUCUGGAGGAACAUCAGUGGCGAAGGCGACUCCCUGGCCAAAGACUGACGCUCAUGUGCGAAAGUGUGGGUAGCGAACAGGAUUAGAUACCCUGGUAGUCCACACCGUAAACGCUGUCUACUAGCUGUGUGUGUCUU